RNAcentral lists this ribosomal RNA (496 nucleotides) under uncultured bacterium. RNAcentral's name for it is "partial 16S ribosomal RNA". It matches the Rfam family "Bacterial small subunit ribosomal RNA", at positions 28 to 506 of the family's 1533-position model. The record is from RNAcentral.
GACGAACGCUGGCGGCGUGCCUAAUACAUGCAAGUUGAGCGAUGAAGAUUGGUGCUUGCACCCAUUUGAAGAGCAGCGAACGGGUGAGUAACGCGUGGGGAAUCUGCCUUUGAGCGGGGGACAACAUUUGGAAACGAAUGCUAAUACCGCAUAACAACUUUAAACAUAAGUUUUAAGUUUGAAAGAUGCAAUUGCAUCACUCAAAGAUGAUCCCGCGUUGUAUUAGCUAGUUGGUGAGGUAAAGGCUCACCAAGGCGAUGAUACAUAGCCGACCUGAGAGGGUGAUCGGCCACAUUGGGACUGAGACACGGCCCAAACUCCUACGGGAGGCAGCAGUAGGGAAUCUUCGGCAAUGGACGAAAGUCUGACCGAGCAACGCCGCGUGAGUGAAGAAGGUUUUCGGAUCGUAAAACUCUGUUGGUAGAGAAGAACGUUGGUGAGAGUGGAAAGCUCAUCAAGUGACGGUAACUACCCAGAAAGGGACGGCUAACUACGU